GACGAACCGUGCGAACGUUGUUCGGAAUCACUGGGCUUAAAGGGCGCGUAGGCGGGCCCGCAAGUCAGGGGUGAAAUCCCACGGCUCAACCGUGGAAGUGCCUUUGAUACUGCGGGUCUGGAGGGAGGUAGGGGCGUGCGGAACUUCCGGUGGAGCGGUGAAAUGCGUAGAUAUCGGAAGGAACACCGGUGGCGAAGGCGGCAUCCUGGACCAACACUGACACUGAGGAGCGAAAGCCAGGGGAGCAAACGGG
Molecule: ribosomal RNA, 253 nt
Filed under: uncultured bacterium
Lineage: Bacteria
Description: partial 16S ribosomal RNA
Rfam family: Bacterial small subunit ribosomal RNA
Source: RNAcentral